ACGAAGGGGGCUAGCGUUGUUCGGAAUUACUGGGCGUAAAGCGCACGUAGGCGGCAUUCCAAGUUGGAGGUGAAAUCCCCGGGCUUAACCUGGGAACUGCCUCCAAAACUGGGAAGCUCGAGUCCGAGAGAGGUGAGUGGAAUUUCCAGUGUAGAGGUGAAAUUCGUAGAUAUUGGAAAGAACACCAGUGGCGAAGGCGGCUCACUGGCUCGGUACUGACGCUGAGGAGCGACAGCGUGGGGAGCAAACAGG
Molecule: ribosomal RNA, 252 nt
Filed under: uncultured bacterium
Lineage: Bacteria
Description: partial 16S ribosomal RNA
Rfam family: Bacterial small subunit ribosomal RNA
Source: RNAcentral